CUAUACAUGACUCUGCGCAUAUCAAUAAGCGGAGGAAAAGGUACCUACGCUUAGGAUGUUGAAGAUAUGCGCGACACGACUCUAUACAUGACUCUGCGCAUAUCAAUAAGCGGAGGAAAAGCAUAACAUGUAUACCUACGCUUAGGAUGUUGAAGAUAUGCGCGACACGACUCUAUACAUGACUCUGUGCAUAUCAAUAAGCGGAGGAAAAGAAACUAACAAGGAUUCCCUUAGUAACGGCGAGUGAAGCGGGAAGAGCUCAAAUUUGAAAUCUUCAAGGUUUCCCUUUACGAAUUGUAGUUUAAAGAAGUGUUUUCUGUUGGAGUUUCGGUAAAAGUUCUUUGGAAUAGGACAUCAUAGAGGGUGAGAAUCCCGUAUUUGACCGUUACUUUCCAGCUGUGUGAUACACUUUCAAAGAGUCGGAUUGUUUGGGAAUGCAGUCCAAAAUGGGUGGUAAAUUUCAUCUAAAGCUAAAUAUUGGCGAGAGACCGAUAGCGAACAAGUACCGUGAGGGAAAGAUGAAAAGAACUUUGAAAAGAGAGUUAAACAGUACGUGAAAUUGUCAAAAGGGAAGCGUUUGACACCAGUGUUGUUUUCUCGAAAAUCAAUUAAAAAAGGCCGGAUUUUGUGUUGUAUGACCUUAAAAGCUUUCUUCACUCUUUUCUUGUCUUUUUUAAUGCACUUUUCGUUUAACAAGUCAACAUCAGUUUCUUUUGUUGUAAAAGGGUCAUUGGAAGGUGGCUUUCUUUUCGGAGAAAGUGUUUAUAGCCUUGUGCCUCUGCAAUCGGGGAGAUUGAGGACAGCAGCGUAGACUCUUCGGGGUUAGAUACACUUGUGCUAAGCUAUAGCCUUGUAUAGACAACUUGUUGACUAUGCUCAGUCAUGUAGCUUACUCGCUUGCGCUAUUUUACCUACGCUUAGGAUGUUGAAGAUAUGCGCGACACG
Molecule: ribosomal RNA, 945 nt
Filed under: uncultured Neocallimastigales
Lineage: Eukaryota; Fungi; Neocallimastigomycota; Neocallimastigomycetes; Neocallimastigales
Description: partial large subunit ribosomal RNA
Rfam family: Eukaryotic large subunit ribosomal RNA (bases 163-945)
Source: RNAcentral